UACGUAGGGGGCUAGCGUUGUCCGGAAUCAUUGGGCGUAAAGAGCGUGUAGGCGGUCCGGUAAGUCCGCUGUGAAAGUCGGGGGCUCAACCCUCGAAUGCCGGUGGAUACUGUCGGGCUAGAGUGCGGAAGAGGCGAGUGGAAUUCCUUGUGUAGCGGUGAAAUGCGCAGAUAUCAGGAGGAACACCUAAUGCGAAGGCAGCUCGCUGGGACGUAACUGACGCUGAGACGCGAAAGCGUGGGGAGCAAACAGG
Molecule: ribosomal RNA, 253 nt
Filed under: uncultured bacterium
Lineage: Bacteria
Description: partial 16S ribosomal RNA
Rfam family: Bacterial small subunit ribosomal RNA
Source: RNAcentral